AACGAACGCUGGCGGCAGGCCUAACACAUGCAAGUCGAGCGCACCCUUCGGGGUGAGCGGCGGACAGGUGAGUAACGCGUGGGAACGUGCCCUUCUCUGCGGAAUAGCCUCGGGAAACUGAGAGUAAUACCGCAUACGCCCUUUGGGGGAAAGAUUUAUCGGAGAAGGAUCGGCCCGCGUUGGAUUAGGUAGUUGGUGGGGUAAUGGCCCACCAAGCCGACGAUCCAUAGCUGGUUUGAGAGGAUGAUCAGCCACACUGGGACUGAGACACGGCCCAGACUCCUACGGGAGGCAGCAGUGGGGAAUCUUAGACAAUGGGGGCAACCCUGAUCUAGCCAUGCCGCGUGAGUGAUGAAGGCCUUAGGGUUGUAAAGCUCUUUCAGCUGGGAAGAUAAUGACGGUACCAGCAGAAGAAGCCCCGGCUAACUCCGUG
Molecule: ribosomal RNA, 433 nt
Filed under: uncultured bacterium
Lineage: Bacteria
Description: partial 16S ribosomal RNA
Rfam family: Bacterial small subunit ribosomal RNA
Source: RNAcentral